RNAcentral lists this transfer RNA (57 nucleotides) under Angiostrongylus cantonensis (rat lungworm). Its description in RNAcentral is "tRNA-Ile". The record is from RNAcentral. Lineage: Eukaryota; Metazoa; Nematoda; Chromadorea; Rhabditida; Metastrongylidae.
UCAUCUUUAGUAAAUAUUUAUUAUGUUAUCUUGAUAAGGUAGAGUUUUUUAGGUGAA